This 152-nucleotide ribosomal RNA is filed under the name uncultured Frankia sp. Its description in RNAcentral is "partial 23S ribosomal RNA". Lineage: Bacteria; Bacillati; Actinomycetota; Actinomycetes; Frankiales; Frankiaceae. The record is from RNAcentral.
GGCCGACAGGCGUAGUCGAUGGACAACGGGUUGAUAUUCCCGUACCGGCAUUGAUGCGACCAUGCUGAACCUGGUUCGUGCUAACCGUCCGAUCUGCAUUCGACUUUCGGGUUGGGUGUGGGGAGCGCGGGAUCCCGGCUGGUAGUAGGCAA